GACGAACGCUGGCGGCGUGCUUAACACAUGCAAGUCGAACGCUGAAGCUCAGCUUUUGUUGGGUGGAUGAGUGGCGAACGGGUGAGUAACACGUGAGUAACCUGCCUCCUUCUUUGGGAUAACGCCCGGAAACGGGUGCUAAUACUGGAUAUUCACUGGUCUUCGCAUGGGGGUUGGUGGAAAGGGUUUUUCUGGUGGGGGAUGGGCUCGCGGCCUAUCAGCUUGUUGGUGGGGUGAUGGCCUACCAAGGCUUUGACGGGUAGCCGGCCUGAGAGGGUGACCGGUCACAUUGGGACUGAGAUACGGCCCAGACUCCGACGGGGGGCAGCAGUGGGGAAUAUUGCACAAUGGGCGCAAGCCUGAUGCAGCGACGCCGCGUGAGGGAUGGAGGCCUUCGGGUUGUGAACCUCUUUCGCUCAUGGUCAAGCCGCAACAAUGGUUGUGGUGAGGGUAGUGGGUAAAGAAGCGCCGGCUAACUACGUG
This 483-nucleotide ribosomal RNA is filed under the name uncultured bacterium. RNAcentral's name for it is "partial 16S ribosomal RNA". It matches the Rfam family "Bacterial small subunit ribosomal RNA", at positions 28 to 507 of the family's 1533-position model. The record is from RNAcentral.